Molecule: transfer RNA, 73 nt
Filed under: Ovis aries (sheep)
Lineage: Eukaryota; Metazoa; Chordata; Mammalia; Artiodactyla; Bovidae
Rfam family: tRNA
About the family: Transfer RNA (tRNA) molecules are approximately 80 nucleotides in length. Their secondary structure includes four short double-helical elements and three loops (D, anti-codon, and T loops).
Source: Rfam by way of RNAcentral
UCCCUGGUGGUCCAAUGGUUAAGAAUUCAUGCUUCCAAUGCAGGAGGUCCAGGUUUGAUUCCUGGUCAGAGAA